This is a non-coding RNA of Anas platyrhynchos (mallard), 1120 nucleotides long. The record is from RefSeq and is a predicted model, not a curated record. NCBI's taxonomy places the organism in Eukaryota, Metazoa, Chordata, Aves, Anseriformes, Anatidae.
UAGAAUCCUUGGGUUGCUCCAUUUAUUGCUGCUCCUUUGAUCACUGUCAGAUCCUCAUGUUUAAUUGAGUCGUUAGUCAGAUGCCAUAGUCAGUCACACUCCAUAGAGAACAAACAUAUAUUUUCUGGAGCAGACAAAGUAACUAGCCACUGGGACCAUAAGCACACCACCAUACUUAGAGGCUGACAACUAUGCAGGACAUCAGUACAGCUAUAUGAAAGGGAUCACAAAAGCAGUGUUUGUGUUUUCCAGUAAUGAUGCAGGAGGAAGGAGGAUGGACUUAAAAUCUAAAGAAAUAACCAAUGCCAGAGAUGUGAAAGGACAUGGUUCCAGAUUUUGUUUCCUACUGACUGGCAAGACCUUAUGCUCCCAGUUGAACACAGAGAUCAGAAUUUUUCUGGGGUUCUCCUUCAAUGGUGGAGUAGCUCACCAAAGUGAUGAUCAAGACAGAAGUUACCCCAUGAUAUGUCCUAAUUUUUGUUUUCCAGAAAGGCUAUAUUUGCAUUGGAAAUUUGCUGCUGAUGGGGAAGUUCUUGCUUCCCCAAUAGAAAUUACUUGAAAAUAUAAAAUAUAAAUUGUUUGUUCUGUAUGCAAGGGGAUUCUCUCUCUAUAGUUAUUUCAGUUGAGAAUACAAGGAAAAGAAGACCGACUCACAGACUUUCUCCUUCCUUUAUGAAGGACUCUGUCCUACCACCAAAGCUUUCAGAAGGAAUUACUAGGUCUUUCUAGAAGAGGCGAUACAGCAAGAUUUAGAUUUAAGAGCUCUAACUGCACCAACUCAGAGCAGCUGCUGAAAAGACCUACACUUCCACUUUGUCCAAUUAUGUGGGCUAGUGGGAAAAACAGCUUUAAUACUAUGCAUACUAUGAAGCAGAAUAUUGUCCUUCUGAACAGAGUAGGCAGAUGGGUACACACAAGUGAAGAGAAAUAAAAACACCCAAAGGAAAUAAUGUAACUCAUUGCAUCUGUAUGUACAAAAAAUGAGGCACAGCUGUAAGUCCAGAAAUCAGAAAAAGGCUAUCUAUCCUCUCUGCUACCUCUUUAACAAUGAGCCAGCUACGAGUGGCUGCUGCCCUGUUGGAGGAUGAGGACUUUCACUCCCUAUAGUUCUGGCCAGUAU